AUUGAACGCUGGCGGCAGGCCUAACACAUGCAAGUCGAGCGGAUGAAGGGAGCUUGCUCCUGGAUUCAGCGGCGGACGGGGGAGUAAUGCCUAGGAAUCUGCCUGGCUGUGGGGGAUAACGUCCUGAAACGGCCGCUACUACUGCAUACGUCCUGAUGGAGCAGCUGGGGGGUCUUUGGACCUCACCCUCUCUUGUGAGCCUAGGUCGGACUAGCUAGUUGGUGGGGUAAAGGCCUACCAAGGCGACGAUCCGUAACUGGUCUGAGAGGAUGAUCAGUCACACUGGAACUGAGACACGGUCCAGACUACUACGGGAGGCAGCAGUGGGGAAUAUUGGACAAUGGGCGAAAGCCUGAUCCAGCCAUGCCGCGUGUGUGAAGAAGGUCUUCGGAUUGUAAAGCACUUUAAGUUGGGAGGAAGGGCAGUAAGUUAAUACCUUGCUGUUUUGACGGUACCAACAGAAUAAGCACCGGCUAACUUCGUG
Molecule: ribosomal RNA, 484 nt
Filed under: uncultured bacterium
Lineage: Bacteria
Description: partial 16S ribosomal RNA
Rfam family: Bacterial small subunit ribosomal RNA
Source: RNAcentral